This 74-nucleotide transfer RNA is filed under the name Roya obtusa. Its description in RNAcentral is "tRNA-Ile". It matches the Rfam family "tRNA". From Rfam's summary of the family: Transfer RNA (tRNA) molecules are approximately 80 nucleotides in length. The record is from RNAcentral. Lineage: Eukaryota; Viridiplantae; Streptophyta; Zygnematophyceae; Zygnematales; Mesotaeniaceae.
GGGCUUAUAGUUUAAUUGGUCGAAACGUACCGCUCAUAACGGUAAUAUUGUAGGUUCAAGUCCUACUAAGCCCU